GAUUAAGUUAUUAAGGGCGCACGGUGGAUGCCUUGGCACUAGAAGCCGAUGAAGGACGUUACUAACGACGAUAUGCUUUGGGGAGCUGUAAGUAAGCUUUGAUCCAGAGAUUUCCGAAUGGGGAAACCCAGCAUGAGUUAUGUCAUGUUAUCGAUAUGUGAAUACAUAGCAUAUCAGAAGGCACACCCGGAGAACUGAAACAUCUUAGUACCCGGAGGAAGAGAAAGAAAAUUCGAUUCCCUUAGUAGCGGCGAGCGAAACGGGAAGAGCCCAAACCAACAAGCUUGCUUGUUGGGGUUGUAGGACACUCUAUACGGAGUUACAAAGGACGACAUUAGACGAAUCAUCUGGAAAGAUGAAUCAAAGAAGGUAAUAAUCCUGUAGUCGAAAAUGUUGUCUCUCUUGAGUGGAUCCUGAGUACGACGGAGCACGUGAAAUUCCGUCGGAAUCUGGGAGGACCAUCUCCUAAGGCUAAAUACUCUCUAGUGACCGAUAGUGAACCAGUACCGUGAGGGAAAGGUGAAAAGCACCCCGGAAGGGGAGUGAAAUAGAACCUGAAACCGUGUGCUUACAAGUAGUCAGAGCCCGUUAAUGGGUGAUGGCGUGCCUUUUGUAGAAUGAACCGGCGAGUUACGAUUUGAUGCAAGGUUAAGCAGUAAAUGUGGAGCCGUAGCGAAAGCGAGUCUGAAUAGGGCGUUUAGUAUUUGGUCGUAGACCCGAAACCAGGUGAUCUACCCUUGGUCAGGUUGAAGUUCAGGUAACACUGAAUGGAGGACCGAACCGACUUACGUUGAAAAGUGAGCGGAUGAACUGAGGGUAGCGGAGAAAUUCCAAUCGAACCUGGAGAUAGCUGGUUCUCUCCGAAAUAGCUUUAGGGCUAGCCUCAAGUGAUGAUUAUUGGAGGUAGAGCACUGUUUGGACGAGGGGCCCCUCUCGGGUUACCGAAUUCAGACAAACUCCGAAUGCCAAUUAAUUUAACUUGGGAGUCAGAACAUGGGUGAUAAGGUCCAUGUUCGAAAGGGAAACAGCCCAGACCACCAGCUAAGGUCCCAAAAUAUAUGUUAAGUGGAAAAGGAUGUGGCGUUGCCCAGACAACUAGGAUGUUGGCUUAGAAGCAGCCAUCAUUUAAAGAGUGCGUAAUAGCUCACUAGUCGAGUGACACUGCGCCGAAAAUGUACCGGGGCUAAACAUAUUACCGAAGCUGUGGAUUGUCCUUUGGACAAUGGUAGGAGAGCGUUCUAAGGGCGUUGAAGCAUGAUCGUAAGGACAUGUGGAGCGCUUAGAAGUGAGAAUGCCGGUGUGAGUAGCGAAAGACGGGUGAGAAUCCCGUCCACCGAUUGACUAAGGUUUCCAGAGGAAGGCUCGUCCGCUCUGGGUUAGUCGGGUCCUAAGCUGAGGCCGACAGGCGUAGGCGAUGGAUAACAGGUUGAUAUUCCUGUACCACCUAUAAUCGUUUUAAUCGAUGGGGGGACGCAGUAGGAUAGGCGAAGCGUGCGAUUGGAUUGCACGUCUAAGCAGUAAGGCUGAGUAUUAGGCAAAUCCGGUACUCGUUAAGGCUGAGCUGUGAUGGGGAGAAGACAUUGUGUCUUCGAGUCGUUGAUUUCACACUGCCGAGAAAAGCCUCUAGAUAGAAAAUAGGUGCCCGUACCGCAAACCGACACAGGUAGUCAAGAUGAGAAUUCUAAGGUGAGCGAGCGAACUCUCGUUAAGGAACUCGGCAAAAUGACCCCGUAACUUCGGGAGAAGGGGUGCUCUUUAGGGUUAACGCCCAGAAGAGCCGCAGUGAAUAGGCCCAAGCGACUGUUUAUCAAAAACACAGGUCUCUGCUAAACCGUAAGGUGAUGUAUAGGGGCUGACGCCUGCCCGGUGCUGGAAGGUUAAGAGGAGUGGUUAGCUUUUGCGAAGCUACGAAUCGAAGCCCCAGUAAACGGCGGCCGUAACUAUAACGGUCCUAAGGUAGCGAAAUUCCUUGUCGGGUAAGUUCCGACCCGCACGAAAGGCGUAACGAUUUGGGCACUGUCUCAACGAGAGACUCGGUGAAAUCAUAGUACCUGUGAAGAUGCAGGUUACCCGCGACAGGACGGAAAGACCCCGUGGAGCUUUACUGUAGCCUGAUAUUGAAAUUCGGCACAGCUUGUACAGGAUAGGUAGGAGCCUUUGAAACGUGAGCGCUAGCUUACGUGGAGGCGCUGGUGGGAUACUACCCUAGCUGUGUUGGCUUUCUAACCCGCACCACUUAUCGUGGUGGGAGACAGUGUCAGGCGGGCAGUUUGACUGGGGCGGUCGCCUCCUAAAAGGUAACGGAGGCGCUCAAAGGUUCCCUCAGAAUGGUUGGAAAUCAUUCAUAGAGUGUAAAGGCAUAAGGGAGCUUGACUGCGAGACCUACAAGUCGAGCAGGGUCGAAAGACGGACUUAGUGAUCCGGUGGUUCCGCAUGGAAGGGCCAUCGCUCAACGGAUAAAAGCUACCCCGGGGAUAACAGGCUUAUCUCCCCCAAGAGUUCACAUCGACGGGGAGGUUUGGCACCUCGAUGUCGGCUCAUCGCAUCCUGGGGCUGUAGUCGGUCCCAAGGGUUGGGCUGUUCGCCCAUUAAAGCGGUACGCGAGCUGGGUUCAGAACGUCGUGAGACAGUUCGGUCCCUAUCCGUCGUGGGCGUAGGAAAUUUGAGAGGAGCUGUCCUUAGUACGAGAGGACCGGGAUGGACAUACCUCUGGUGUACCAGUUGUCGUGCCAACGGCAUAGCUGGGUAGCUAUGUGUGGACGGGAUAAGUGCUGAAAGCAUCUAAGCAUGAAGCCCCCCUCAAGAUGAGAUUUCCCAACUUCGGUUAUAAGAUCCCUCAAAGAUGAUGAGGUUAAUAGGUUCGAGGUGGAAGCAUGGUGACAUGUGGAGCUGACGAAUACUAAUCGAUCGAAGACUUAAUCAA
Molecule: ribosomal RNA, 2923 nt
Filed under: Staphylococcus sp. MZ7
Lineage: Bacteria; Bacillati; Bacillota; Bacilli; Caryophanales; Staphylococcaceae
Description: 23S ribosomal RNA
Rfam family: Bacterial large subunit ribosomal RNA
Source: RNAcentral